CGGGACGGGUGAGUAAUGUCUGGGAAACUGCCUGAUGGAGGGGGAUAACUACUGGAAACGGUAGCUAAUACCGCAUAACGUCGCAAGACCAAAGAGGGGGACCUUAGGGCCUCUUGCCAUCGGAUGUGCCCAGAUGGGAUUAGCUAGUAGGUGGGGUAACGGCUCACCUAGGCGACGAUCCCUAGCUGGCCUGAGAGGAUGACCAGCCACACUGGAACUGAGACACGGUCCAG
Molecule: ribosomal RNA, 233 nt
Filed under: uncultured bacterium
Lineage: Bacteria
Description: partial 16S ribosomal RNA
Rfam family: Bacterial small subunit ribosomal RNA
Source: RNAcentral